GAGUUUGAUCGUGGCUCAGGAUGAACGCUGGCGGCGUGCCUAACACAUGCAAGUCGAACGGGGUUUAUUGAGGAAGAAGCUUCGGCGGAAUUCUUAUAAACUUAGUGGCGGACGGGUGAGUAACACGUGGAGAACCUGCCUCUUACCGGGGGGACAGCAGUUGGAAACGACUGAUAAUACCGCAUAAGCGCACGAGACCGCAUGGUCCUGUGUGAAAAGAUUUAUCGGUAAGAGAUGGCUCCGCGUCUGAUUAGCCAGUUGGCGGGGUAACGGCCCACCAAAGCGACGAUCCGUAGCCGGCCUGAGAGGGUGAACGGCCACAUUGGGACUGAGACACGGCCCAGACUCCUACGGGAGGCAGCAGUGGGGAUAUUGCACAAUGGAGGAAACUCU
RNAcentral lists this ribosomal RNA (393 nucleotides) under uncultured microorganism. RNAcentral's name for it is "bacterial SSU rRNA". It matches the Rfam family "Bacterial small subunit ribosomal RNA", at positions 9 to 384 of the family's 1533-position model. The record is from RNAcentral.